This 382-nucleotide ribosomal RNA is filed under the name uncultured Microbacterium sp. RNAcentral describes it as "bacterial SSU rRNA". It matches the Rfam family "Bacterial small subunit ribosomal RNA", at positions 115 to 508 of the family's 1533-position model. Lineage: Bacteria; Bacillati; Actinomycetota; Actinomycetes; Micrococcales; Microbacteriaceae. The record is from RNAcentral.
ACGUGAGCAAACCCUGCCCCCUCACUCUGGGAUAAGCGCUGGAAACGGCGUCUAAUACUGGAUACGAGUUGGAACCGCAUGGUUACCAACUGGAAAGAUUUUUGGUGGGGGAUGGGCUCGCGGCCUAUCAGCUUGUUGGUGAGGUAAUGGCUCACCAAGGCGUCGACGGGUAGCCGGCCUGAGAGGGUGACCGGCCACACUGGGACUGAGACACGGCCCAGACUCCUACGGGAGGCAGCAGUGGGGAAUAUUGCACAAUGGGCGGAAGCCUGAUGCAGCAACGCCGCGUGAGGGAUGACGGCCUUCGGGUUGUAAACCUCUUUUAGCAGGGAAGAAGCGAGAGUGACGGUACCUGCAGAAAAAGCACCGGCUAACUACGUGC